UCUUAAAGAGAGACAGAUCAGACUCACAGCAUUUGAAGUUUUCUUCUGAAACAAGGGAUCAGUAUUUCCAUGGAUUCACAGAAUUUGUUUUGUACCUUAAAACAGCAUUUACCUUUGCAGGCAAAAGGAGACUUUAUGAUUACUGUUUUGCCUAUGGAUAGUUCCAGGUGCUGUCUGUGAUCACUUCCUUCUUCCCUUCCUCUGUUGAAGCCCCACUCAGCUGAUGCACCUGGAGGAGAGCAAGGAAUUAAAGUUGCAAGCCUCUGAACUGGAAGCAUUCAUCAGAGCACUGGGUUUUCAUUUCCUUUCGACUGACAAAUUUUGGAAUCAGACAAGAUACGUGUCUCUAUUUUUACUGCUGGACAAGGAUACGGGCCAGCUCUCUGACUCUACAGGCCUGUGCUCUUCCCUGGGAAGGGUUCUCCUGCUACACUGGCUGCUGGUGACCUUGCAGGGGACAUGGAACUGCUGGCUGUCACAGCACCAGAGGGAGCAGAGAAGAAUGCAACAGCAUCACAAGCCAAGGUGGAAGGAAUAGAAAAAGCAGCAGCAACAGGGGAGGUGGAAAGCCCAGAGGGAGCAGGUCUGGGUGGACAAGUGGCCACUACUGAAGGACCAGCAGCAAUAGUGGUGGAAGCAUCAGAAAACCCAGAGGCAGAAAGACUUGCUGAAGCAUUUGCCCGGGCAGCAGAAAGGAUUGCAAUAUCAGAAGUAGCCAAGGUGUUGCAAUCAGCAAUCGCUGAGCUCAAAGAGAAGAGGAGGAGCAUGUGGCUAAUGCCAAGGAACACCACUCAGCAGGAGGAGGAGGAAUGGGUGAAAGAGGGAAAGGUGAAAUGAAAUGAAGGAGAGGUGGUGGUCUGGGUCGAACCUAGUGGGGGGGCUGAUACCCUGGCACUGUGACUGCUGACAGUUACAUCUCCUUGGUGACUGCCCAUACUAUUGAAAAUAAAGAUAUGCCAUAUUCCACACACAGGUCUUCUGAAGGCCCUUGUCUCCUGGUUUUGUGAAAUGGCUGCUCUGCACCUCUUCCUCAAAGAUGAAGGAGAGCAAAGUGUGCUGUUCAUGUUAGAAAAUGUGAUACGGGCAAGAAAUUAUAAAAAAAAGUUGUACUCUAAACACGUGGUCAAGCUUUCAUGCCUGUAGGCCAAGAAAUAGUCCAUGGGAACACAGAUGAUUUGAAUUAGUUUCAGAUCCUAACAAAGCAGGUGCAUUUACGAGUCUAUCCAUCUUGCUCCAGCUCUGAAGUGUGUUUCUUGCCUAGAUGGGAAUGGUAGGUAUAAUUUUUUCUUCUAAUUCUGCUUAUGCAUCUGGAGCAGGGAAUGGGAAAGGUCUCUCUAUCCAGAUUGAUAAUGGUGAAAUGCAGGACAGAAGUCCAGAAGAAAUUCAAGAAAUGGGAAACAUCAUCUUCAGAACAGUGGUGGACUUGUCAGCAUGAAUCACAUUCCCCAGGCGGUGCAGACUGAUGAUUAAAACAGGCUUCUGACUUUUGAGAGGAAAAACCAUUGUUUGAUGUAAGAUUGUUUUCUCAGCCUGUGAGGUAUAGGUAAGUCUGUGUUGUAGUAAGAGUUGGAUGAUGGGGCAGUCACCAUAAGAGGUAAAUGGUGAUAAUGUGAUACAGAGAGUAUGGGACUAGAACAAAGCCAGCCUUGGUGUGUCUUCCAGGUUUUCCUACGAAGGAUGAUCACAACUCAGAAGAACCUGAUGCCUUCAGCAAAUGUCUGCUUCAUUAAUUCCUUACAAAUACUUCAUGGUUUGCUGCUCCAGGCUUGUGUUUAUCAGCCUAGGGAGGUGGGGUCAAAUCUGUAGUUGCAUUGAAAAAUUCUGAACCAAAUGCAGUGCCAGGUGCCUGCGUUUGAUUUGUUGCUGCACCCCAGGUGGGAUGUCUAGGCAGUGCCACCAAGUACUCUGGGUGAAAGAAAACAGCUCCCUGACCACAGAUGGUCAUGAGUAAAGCCACAGAACAUUUGGAAAGAGUAAAGAUGGCUGGCAAUGAAGAUCUCUCUCCACCUCCCUCUCGGGAAACAUGUCCUUGUAUC
Molecule: non-coding RNA, 2036 nt
Organism: Phalacrocorax carbo (great cormorant)
Lineage: Eukaryota; Metazoa; Chordata; Aves; Suliformes; Phalacrocoracidae
Source: RefSeq, a predicted model, not a curated record